UUUUUUUAUUUUUUAUUUCCCUUUUACUGAUUGUGCUUCCCCCCUCCCCACAAAGGCUCACGUUGUUUUGCCAAAACCCUCAUGUGAUUUGGUCCAAAACCCUUCCGUUUUCAGACACAACUCCAGCGAUCUUGUCCGCCCUAGAAGACCAUCCCGCGAAGUGCAUCUUUUUCACUGAUUGUUCGAUAUCUAUUUUCUACAUGUAAAAACUUUGCCUGAAGGUCCUCAAUUUCUCCAUCUUAACGUAGAAGUAAAGCUAUACCUCCUCCAUCCCUUCCUCCCUAGUGGUUGCAUUAGCAGGUAGACCAUUGGAAGGUUAUCCCAUCAACUCAUGAACAUCUUCUACAGUGAGAAGCAUUCGAAGACCGUGGACAUUCAAUGAAUGAGUUGAAGGAUCAAAGUUCUGUACUAACCAACAGCACAAGUCAUGAUCUAUGUGCGUGCACCUAAGGCUUAGGAUGCCAUGAAACCCCAUUUCAGUCACUGCUUCUUGUUGUGCUUUGUCCAGCCUUCUAAUAAUCUUACAAAUCGAUAUCCAACUGAUGGAUUCACAAAUAUUCCAUUAACAGAAUCGAACUUCAAACUGCAGAAACCAUAUGACAUACCACUUGAGCAGCGCUACAGCUUCCAAAAUGGAGUUCACCGCUUGUGGGUCUAUGCCGAUGACAAGCCAUAUGACCCCAGUAGUCCUGCCCAGCCCCGCACCGAGAUUCGCAUACUAGGCCUUGACUACUCAUACGGAGUCUGGCAGUUCGAAGGCUAUGGUUUCGUCCCAAACUCAACCUUCGGUGCUACAAUUGUGCAGAUCCAUGGCGCGACCAAUUACACCACAACUAUCAUACUGAGGAUCUACAAUUGGGACAUGAGGUACUACAGUGUUGAUCUUGUGGAUACAGACUUGUAUGAUAAAUGGUUCAGGGUUAACUUAAUCCAUGACGUGGAUAAAAGAAAUCUCACAGUUUUCAUUGAUGGUGUGAAAAAAUUUGAAACAAAAGAUAGAGGUGCAGGUGCUGGAGACUUUUAUUUCAAAUGUGGUGUGUAUGUUGCACUAGCAAAUAUAAGCUAUUACAUGGAGUCAAGGUGGAGAGACAUCAAAAUAUACAAGUCACGUUAGAUAGAGCGGUGUUUGGUUUACAAAAAAAUAAACCAAGAUGGAAGAGCUUAGUCUAUAAAAGGAAAAGGCUUCAGCAAUUCCAAGGGCACCAAAUCCAUCUGCAUCAAGGGCAAGUUCACAAACACAAAGGGAAACUUCAGCAACAAAAGCAACUUCAACAUCAAAGACAACAAUAGCAGUAGGAACAAGGACAACACCAACAGCAACGAGUGCAACAACAACAAAGGCAGCAUCGUCACAAACAUUUGAAGCAUCAAGGGGAGCAACAUCAACACCAACAAUAGCCUAAUUUACAUGGAGAGGGAUGAAUGUUGUGAACUUGUCCUCACUUCAGAAUGCAUCUGCCUCUAAGGAGAAGAACCCAAAGUAGGGGUGUUGUUUAUUUUGAUUAUCAAACACUUUUGACAAUGUGGCAUGUUUUGUCUAUGUAGUUAUGGAUACUGCCAGCAUGUGUGCAUCAUCAUGAACAUGUGGCCACUUUGACUUGGUGGGUACCAACAAUAUAUUUUAUGAAAAUCAUUAUGGCCAUUUGUGUGUUCUUGUGGAUA
Non-coding RNA from Camellia sinensis, 1662 nucleotides. Lineage: Eukaryota; Viridiplantae; Streptophyta; Magnoliopsida; Ericales; Theaceae. The record is from RefSeq and is a predicted model, not a curated record.